RNAcentral lists this long non-coding RNA (1034 nucleotides) under Hordeum vulgare. Its description in RNAcentral is "long non-coding RNA (HVUL_LNC002113)". The record is from RNAcentral. Lineage: Eukaryota; Viridiplantae; Streptophyta; Magnoliopsida; Poales; Poaceae.
UCUACCAGUCUACCCCAACCUUCCCCGGUAUGUAAAGUGUAUGUAUUCGUCGUGGGUUUGUGAAGAGACAUACUACGUACAGUAGACAACUUCUCCUACGCUGUGGCCGGUGGGAUCCAGCACCGGAGAUCAUCCCAUCCGGUUUGAAAACUUUAUUUAUUCCUCCGGUCACGACGGCUCGACGGCGACGGCGACGGCGACGGAUGGCGUCAUCGGGCCGUGUUGGGAGCCGGGCGUACGCAGCGCGUGGCGUUAAAUAAUUAUGUUGCGCCCGUACUUUACUCGCAGCCCCAUUGAAAUUUGGCACGGCUUGCGUCACGCGCGCGUCCGCGUCGCUCCCCGGAAGGGGGGCCCAGGUGUUUCUGUUUCGCGUAUUGUAAUGUGAAUAAUCAUCGUCGGUUGCGCGGGGCACGUGAGCGCGGUGGUUAACGAUGGGAUGGAUACUUGGCCCCGUUGCGUGUUCCGUGUAGAUUAAAUACCCGUGCUUCCCGUACUCCUUGUAUGAAACAUUGAAUAUCUAAUCCAUGGUUAAACGUAGCACCAAGCACCAACACUCUCCUAGUCAAAAAAAAAGCACCAACACUCGCGACCAAUCCUUACUUGAAUGAUCAUCAGGACAAUGGUAUAUCAGCAAAUUUAAGUUAUAAACUUAAAGUUGAUGCUCAUAUUUUUUGAAUUUAUUUCAGACUUUCCAACGAUAUGCGUUUAAUGGGACGAAGCAUUUCCGUCGAUAAAGAAGGCAUCUAUGAUGAAAUCGUCAAAUCUUUAGAUGAUAUGACGAUUCAGUCUCUUGAAGAUGUUCAUAGAAGUAUGAUGUAUGUGUGUGUGUUUAUAGAGGUGAGUGUAUAUUCAUGUGUUUGAUCGACUUUGAUAUUACUGUGUUAAAAAAGUCUUGUAGGAUAGAAAGUAUGUCUAGAGAGGGUGAUUAGACUACUUAACAAGAUAAAAAAAAUAGCAUUUUUUCCAAUUUUAGUUGAGGUGCAGAUUUGGCUGUUAUGACAAGUCAAGUACACCCUACCACUAGUGGGGACGGG